UGGAAAAACAGCCUAUUGCGAGCACCCCUAUGAGGAGAGAGGUCCAUCUGAAGACGAAUUGAUAUCUCUCAUCAACAGCCAGUAAAAUUCUGAGGCCUGCCUAUAGCUACAUGACAUCUCAAUGCAAGGUCACUUCAGAAGUCUGGAGGCUUCUAUAACAGCACACAGGAUCAAAGGAAGGACCCUCCACUCAAGAAUAAUCUGUCAUGACUGCGGCUAAUAUCAACGUUAUCCAAGACCUUAUUUAGGUUCCUUGAAAGCUGGUAUCUGUGCAGCUUCCAUUCAGGUGGAAGGUAUUGAAAUCAUCAUAGACUGGCAAAAAUGGCCAAGCGCAGUGGCUUACACCUGUAAUCCCAAUACUUUGGGAGGUCAAGGCGGGCAGAUCACUUGAGCUCAGUAGUUCGAAACCAGCAUGGGCAACAUGGUAAAACCCUGUCUCAACUGAAAUAAAAAAGUUAACUGGA
Long non-coding RNA from Pan troglodytes (chimpanzee), 464 nucleotides. RefSeq lists it as uncharacterized. NCBI's taxonomy places the organism in Eukaryota, Metazoa, Chordata, Mammalia, Primates, Hominidae. The record is from RefSeq and is a predicted model, not a curated record. The transcript has 2 exons.